This 231-nucleotide ribosomal RNA is filed under the name uncultured bacterium. RNAcentral's name for it is "partial 16S ribosomal RNA". It matches the Rfam family "Bacterial small subunit ribosomal RNA", at positions 15 to 229 of the family's 1533-position model. The record is from RNAcentral.
GAUCAUGGCUCAGGAUGAACGCUGGCGGCGUGCCUAACACAUGCAAGUCGAGCGGGAAAUACUUGAUUGAAACUUCGGUCGAUUGAUAGUAUGGAGAGCGGCGGACGGGUGAGUAACGCGUAGGCAACCUGCCUUAUGCAGAGGGAUAGCCAUUGGAACGAUGAUUAAAACCUCAUAAUGCCAAGGGUUCACAUGUACUUUUGGCCAAAGAUUUAUCGGCAUAAGAUCGGG